This 1037-nucleotide ribosomal RNA is filed under the name uncultured archaeon. RNAcentral describes it as "bacterial SSU rRNA". It matches the Rfam family "Archaeal small subunit ribosomal RNA", at positions 122 to 1160 of the family's 1478-position model. The record is from RNAcentral.
UGGGAUAACCUCGGGAAACUGGUGAUAAUUCCGAAUAAAUCAGAUAUGCUGGAAUGCUUUCUGGUUCAAAGCUUCGGUGCCUUAGGAUGGAUCUGCGGCCUAUCAGGUUGUAGUGGGUGUAAUGUACCUACUAGCCUACGACGGGUACGGGUUGUGAGAGCAAGAGCCCGGAGAUGGAUUCUGAGACAUGAAUCCAGGCCCUACGGGGCGCAGCAGGCGCGAAAACUUUACAAUGCGGGAAACCGCGAUAAGGGGAUACCGAGUGCCAGCAUUUAUGUUGGCUGUCCACAUGUCUAAAUCGCAUGUGUUAGCAAGGGCCGGGCAAGACCGGUGCCAGCCGCCGCGGUAACACCGGCGGCCCGAGUGGUGGCCACUAUUAUUGGGUCUAAAGGGUCCGUAGCCGGUUUGAUCAGUCUUCCGGGAAAUCUGACAGCUCAACUGUUAGGCUUCUGGGGGAUACUGUCAGACUUGGGACCGGGAGAGGUAAGAGGUACUACAGGGGUAGGAGUGAAAUCUUGUAAUCCCUGUGGGACCACCAGUGGCGAAGGCGUCUUACCAGAACGGGUCCGACGGUGAGGGACGAAAGCUGGGGGCACGAACCGGAUUAGAUACCCGGGUAGUCCCAGCCGUAAACGAUGCUCGCUAGGUGUCUGGGACGGUGCGACCGUUUCAGGUGCCGCAGGGAAGCCGUGAAGCGAGCCACCUGGGAAGUACGGCCGCAAGGCUGAAACUUAAAGGAAUUGGCGGGGGAGCACUACAACGGGUGGAGCCUGCGGUUUAAUUGGACUCAACGCCGGAAAACUCACCUGGGGCGACAGCAAUAUGUAGGUCAGGCUAAAGGUCUUACCUGAAUCGCUGAGAGGAGGUGCAUGGCCGUCGUCAGUUCGUACUGUGAAGCAUCCUGUUAAGUCAGGCAACGAGCGAGACCCGUGCCCACUGUUGCCAGCAUGUCCUUUCGGGAUGAUGGGUACUCUGUGGGGACCGCUGGUGCUAAACCAGAGGAAGGUGCGGGCUACGGUAGGUCAGUAUGCCCCCGA